GGGGUUGUCAAGGUUUCGACAGAGAACAUGAACCUUUAGAAGCUAUCCGGGGGCAUCGCACGUUACGCAGCAAAUUAAAUAAUAAACGACAAUAGACGUUUAGCAUUAGCAGCCUAGUCUGCUUCGUCUACCUUUAUUCACCUGUAGGUAAAGAAUAGGCGUCAAUUUUGCAGGAAACAGAGAAAGUCUUCCUCGAACUUUCUGCUGUAUAAGAGGAUAGAGAGAAAUGAGAUUUGUUUGUUGAACUUAUUUCAAUCGAAACUUGAUCAAUAGACUAUGAUAGUAGAAGGAAAGCGGAUUGUUUUUUGGAAACGGGUUCGAUUCCCGUCAGCUCCAU
This 337-nucleotide transfer-messenger RNA is filed under the name bovine gut metagenome. It matches the Rfam family "transfer-messenger RNA". Rfam says of the family: Bacterial tmRNA, also known as 10Sa RNA or SsrA, is named for its dual tRNA and mRNA-like properties. Its role is to liberate the mRNA from a stalled ribosome. To accomplish this part of the tmRNA is used as a reading frame that ends in a translation stop signal. The record is from RNAcentral.